CAAGAUCCUAUUAAAGACGAAUUUUGUAAUUUUAAACCAACAUUAUCAUAAUAUGGGUGUGACAAUUCCAAACGAGUCUGAUUUUUUAGGUCAACAAAGUUGUAUUAAAGAAUAAUUCGUAGUUCCUUAUUAAUAGUUUUACAGUCGAACGACUAUGGCCAAAUUCAUGUAAUUUUCAGUUUUGUGCAUUACGAGAAAGUUACAUACGAGUGAAAGAAAUGACAAUCGUUUAUAUAAGCCUGAGGACAAA
Long non-coding RNA from Ceratosolen solmsi marchali, 250 nucleotides. RefSeq lists it as uncharacterized. The record is from RefSeq and is a predicted model, not a curated record. The transcript is spliced from 3 exons. NCBI's taxonomy places the organism in Eukaryota, Metazoa, Arthropoda, Insecta, Hymenoptera, Agaonidae.